ACUUCUGUGUCUUUGUAAGAAUUAUCCUUACCUCAUGAGGUAAUAUCUUGCAUGGAGCCCCAGGCCGAGGAAGACUGACAGUCAUCUUGUGUUUCUUCCAUUUUCUAAUAAUUAUGCCAACAGUUGUUACCUUCUC
This is a long non-coding RNA of Thalassophryne amazonica, 136 nucleotides long. RefSeq lists it as uncharacterized. The transcript is spliced from 3 exons. Lineage: Eukaryota; Metazoa; Chordata; Actinopteri; Batrachoidiformes; Batrachoididae. The record is from RefSeq and is a predicted model, not a curated record.